UACGUAGGAGGCAAGCGUUGUCCGGAUUCAUUGGGCGUAAAGAGCGUGUAGGCGGCCAGGUAGGUCGGUUGUGAAAACUGGAGGCUCAACCUUCAGAGGUCGACCGAAACCAUCUGGCUAGAGUCCGGGAGAGGAGAGUGGAAUUCCUGGUGUAGCGGUGAAAUGCGCAGAUAUCAGGAAGAACACCCGUGGCGAAAGCGGCUCUCUAGAACGGUACUGACGCUGAGACGCGAAAGCGUGGGGAGCGAACAGG
Molecule: ribosomal RNA, 253 nt
Filed under: uncultured bacterium
Lineage: Bacteria
Description: partial 16S ribosomal RNA
Rfam family: Bacterial small subunit ribosomal RNA
Source: RNAcentral